GGUUCCUUAGCUCAGUUGGUUAGAGCGCUCGCCUGUCACGCGAGAGGUCACGGGUUCAAGUCCCGUAGGAACCGCCA
Molecule: transfer RNA, 77 nt
Filed under: Pseudomonas phage Psa21
Lineage: Duplodnaviria; Heunggongvirae; Uroviricota; Caudoviricetes; Chimalliviridae
Description: tRNA-Asp
Rfam family: tRNA
About the family: Transfer RNA (tRNA) molecules are approximately 80 nucleotides in length.
Source: RNAcentral